UACGUAGGGGGCAAGCGUUGUCCGGAUUUAUUGGGCGUAAAGAGCGUGUAGGCGGCCAAGCAGGUCAGCUGUGAAAACUCGAGGCUCAACCUCGAGACGUCGGUUGAAACCGCUUGGCUAGAGUCCGGAAGAGGAGAGUGGAAUUCCCGGUGUAGCGGUGAAAUGCGCAGAUAUCGGGAAGAACACCCGUGGCGAAGGCGGCUCUCUGGGACGGUACUGACGCGUGAGGCGGCGAAAGCGUGGGGAGCGAACAGG
Molecule: ribosomal RNA, 255 nt
Filed under: uncultured bacterium
Lineage: Bacteria
Description: partial 16S ribosomal RNA
Rfam family: Bacterial small subunit ribosomal RNA
Source: RNAcentral